ACGAACGCUGGUGGCGGGCCUAAUACAUGCAAGUCGAACGAGAAAGUCCUUCGGGAUGAGUAUAGUGGCGCACGGGUGAGUAACACGUAGGUGACCUACCCUUUAGUGUGGGACAACCCGGGGAAACUCGGGCUAAUACCGCAUAAGACCCCGGGUUUUUGGAUCUGAGGUCAAAGGCGCAAGUCGCCGAGGGAGGGGCCCGCGGCCGAUUAGCUAGUUGGUAGGGUAACGGCCUACCAAGGCAAUGAUCGGUAGCUGGUCUGAGAGGAUGAUCAGCCACACUGGUACUGAGACACGGACCAGACUCCUACGGGAGGCAGCAGUGGGGAAUAUUGCGCAAUGGGCGAAAGCCUGACGCAGCAACGCCGCGUGGGUGAUGAAGGCCUUCGGGUCGUAAAGCCCUGUCAGAUGGGACGAAGGAAGUGACGGUACCAUCGAAGGAAGCACCGGCUAACUCCGU
Molecule: ribosomal RNA, 460 nt
Filed under: uncultured bacterium
Lineage: Bacteria
Description: bacterial SSU rRNA
Rfam family: Bacterial small subunit ribosomal RNA
Source: RNAcentral